Molecule: ribosomal RNA, 504 nt
Filed under: uncultured bacterium
Lineage: Bacteria
Description: partial 16S ribosomal RNA
Rfam family: Bacterial small subunit ribosomal RNA
Source: RNAcentral
ACUCAAAGGAAUAGACGGGACCCCGCACAAGCGGUGGAGCAUGUGGAUUAAUUCGAUAAUAACCGAAGAACCUUACCCAGACUUGACAUCGAGUGUAAGACUUGGAAAUAGGUCCCUCAACCCACAAGGUUGACACGAAGACACCUGUUGCAUGGCUGUCGUCAGCUCGUGCCGUGAGGUGUUUGGUUAAGUCCAGCAACGAGCGCAACCCUCAUCUUGUGUUGCCAACGGAUAAUGCCGGGAACUCACAAGAAACUGCCCGUGUAAACGGGAGGAAGGUGAGGAUGACGUCAAGUCAGCAUGGCGGUUACGUCUGGGGCUUCACACAUGCUACAAUGGGCGCAACAAAGGGCAGCAAUAUCGCGAGAUGGAGCUAAUCCCAAAAAUACGCCCUCAGUUCAGAUUGCAGUCUGCAACUCGACUGCAUGAAGGCGGAAUCGCUAGUAACCGCAAGUCAGCUAUAUUGCGGUGAAUACGUUCCCGGGGUUUGCACACACCGCCCGU